UCCAUCGUGACCUCGCCUCUUCUCUCUUUCAUUCGAGCCUCAUGGUUCCCUUGUCAUUUAUUUUUGUUGUUUUGUUCUCUUUUAUCACAACUUCCAUCUCUAUCGUGGUCCGCACGGCGCACACAUCCGCGGCCGGUGUGAUAGCGGCUUUAAAGUGAGUGAAUACUGAUUAUAGUGAACGUCGGCUUUUCGUCUUUGUCGUUUUGAAUUUCAACAUUAUUCGCGACGAAUAUUAUUCUAAUUAGUAAUUUCUAAUAUUUACGAUAAUAUUAUUAUUGUUUAUAAAAACGUUUUUCAAAUUAUAUCCGUAACAUGCACCUCGUUACGUCUAUUUGCGCCCCGCUUGUUCGUUAAUAAUUAUUAUAAGACGGCAAUCGGUUAAACGUUUACCUACGUUUAUCCUUGAUUUGGCUGAACAUGUGGAUUUCCGAUUUAAACGCAUGCUUUUCGCCUGGCUCGUCCUUGUCGGUGUAAUAGGUACUACUCGGCUGUGAUGCAAUAACCACGUGAAACCAAACCAGGCGUUUUGUUUUCAUUUCAGAAUCUUUAUUUUUAAACGCCGGUGAUUUGAAAUUCAAACUUAGACCAUGAGCCCGAGUCAUAGCAAACAGUCAACAAUUCGUAAGAUAACAUCAGGCAUUAAAAAUAAAAAUGGGAAAAGGUCGUUUUUAAGAACAUCAGAGAAUGAUGUAACUGAUGAAUUUUACUAUAAAAGAAAAAAAUCCAUUAAACACUCUCAAGUAGAUAUAAAUAAUGCAGUCUUGACAGCACCAAAUAUUAUGACAAGAAAUAAACUAAAACAACAACUAACAAGUAUAGACAACAGUGAAUUAGUAGAAACAAGUGUCAUAGAAGAUAAAUGUUCCAGAAAUGACAAUAUAAGAAUUAAAUCAGGAAAAGCUAAUAAGAAAAGAAAACCUUCAAACAAAAUUAAUACAAAAAUUACAAAUAAGUUGCAACUUGGUUUUGUUUUUACAAAUGAUAUUUCUUCUCCAUAUUGUGGAAAACAACUAGAUACCAAUUAUAAAAAAGGCCCACCUUCAUUAUUUGAAUCAGACUCUGACCCAGAAAUUGAUUCUUUUCAAAUAAAGGAUAGUAUAAAAAACGAAGUGGAAGAAAUAUCGACUUGUAUUUCUUAUCCAGACGAUAUAUUAUGUCCUACAUUUGACAAAAAUGUUGGAAUGAAAACUUAUUUAAACAAAAAAUCAUAUCUUAUUAACAAUAAGUCUAAUAUACAAUCAUUAAAUACAUCUGAGAAAAUUAAUCAACAACCAUCGAGUUUAUAUAAUCACAUUAAAAUGGUCCAUGACUCUAAUCCGUCUAAUAGCAUAUCACAAAAUAACAGUAAAACCAGGAAAUCAUUGAAAUGUACAGAUCCUACAACAAGUGAAUGUGUGCAAACAAAUACUGAAGAUGAAGACACUAUUAUUGUUACUGAAUCAUUUAUAAGACAACUAAAAAACGAAGUUGAAAUAAUAAAAACAGAAUCACAAAGUAGCGAAAUCGGAACUCGAGAACUAUUUUAUGAUAAUAAUAUUAAUAAAUCCAAUGAUUCUGAUAUAGAGCAAUAUAAAGACAAUGAAGUGGUAUCCAAAAUACUGUCUUCAGAUUUUGAUGUGAACCAAAUUAAUAUGUGCACUAUUGAUACUAAUAUCACUAAUAUAAUAUGUGAUACAAACUUCAAAUCAUCAAUUUCAUCUAAUUUAUUAUUAAAUGAAGACAUGGACGUUAUUGAUGAAUCACACAAAUUUACACCAUCACUGUCACCAUCGCCACAAACCACAAAUACUGUUGAAAAUAGCUUAAUGAGUAUUUUUGAUGUACCGAAAGAGAACAUUGUUGAAAGUUAUGCUAAUAUCAAAGAUAUCGAUUCGGAUUCUAACAUUUCAACUACAAUUUCAGAGAACAUGAUAGAUCUAAGUAGCUUACAGACUUUUGAAUUUGAUAAUAGUAACUCAGAUCAAUCUAUAGAAAAUCGUCCCAAGUCUGAAAAUAAUAGCACUUGCCAUCUUUCCCCAGAUCAGAUUGAACCUGAUCAGUAUUUUCAUACAGUAAUUAAAGAUGAGAUAAAAAUAAUGAAAAAACCCGAAUCUUUUAUUAAUAAAGGAAAUUCUAAUUGUUCACUCAAAAAUGACAAUUUAAGUUCUUCUUAUGAUAGUUAUUCAAAAAAAUAUAACAAUCUUUAUUCUCAAUGCUAUUGUAAAAAUUUUACUAGUUUCAACAACGAUGAUAAUAAGAUAUUUACUUCUAAAAUCAAGCAUUUUGCAUUUAAUAAUAAUGCUAAAAAAGUUCGUCAAAAAAUAUUGCGUAAAAAACAUUUAGAAGCCAAUAUUUUAAAUAUGCUUAUUACCAAAGAUCACAAAAAUAUCAUUCAACCAAGAGAGCAUAAACCAAUCUUUAAUUCAAUUUUAAUUAAUAAAAAAUAUGAAAAAUGCAUUGAAUCAAAAGAGAAUGAUCACAUUGCACCAAGCGUUUUAAGUAUGCUUAAAGAUGUCUAUGUAGACGUAGACUACCUUACUGAAUACAGUGAUUAUAAUACAAGUGCUCAUAAAUUGCCAGAACCGCACACAAAUAAAAAAGAUAUCAAAUUUAAUAUUCAAGCUUCUAAUAUUAAACCAUUAGACAUAAUGCAUAAAUUUAAAAACAAUAAUGAUUCAACAUCAAAUAAUACAUCACAAAAUGAACCAAUUAAUCUUAAACCUUGUGAUGAAAAAUAUGACAAUUUUAAUAAAAACAAAAUAAUUGAUAAUGUCCCCAUAUCAAACACUACAACAACACAAAAACCACUUAACUUCAAACCUUGUGAUCAAAGUUAUGUUAAUUUUAGUAAAAACAAAAUAAUUGAUGAUUCUAAAAUAAAUAUUCCAAAAAAAAAAAAAACAGUCAACAUUAAACCUUGCGAUGGAAGUUAUAUUAAUUUUAAUAAAAACAAAAUAAUUGACAAUGUUUCCAUUUCAAACACUACAACAACACAAAAACCAGUCCACUUUAAACCGUGUGUUGGAAGUUAUGUUAAUUUUAAUAAAAACAAAAUAAGUGAUAAUUUUCUCAUGUCAAAUACUAAAACGACCCAAGACCCAAUCAACAUUAAACCUUGUGAUAGAAGCUCUGUUAACUUAAAUAAAAACAAAAUUAUUGAUAAUGUUUCUACGUCAAAUAGUAAACUAGUUAAUGUUGAACCUUGUGAUCAACGUCAUGUAAAUUCUAAUAAAAACUAUAUAUUAUUUGAUAAUGCUUCUACGUCAAAUAAUAAAAAAAGUAAUGAACCAAAUAAUCUUAAACCUUAUGAAGAAAGUGAUGCCAACUAUGAUAAUUUGAUAAUAAUUAACAAUGCUUCAACGUCAAAGAGUAUUACAAAAAAUAAACCAAUUAGUCCUAAAUCUUGUAAUCAAAAUUAUAUACAUUUUAAUAAAAACAAAAUAACUGUUAAUGCCUCUAUGGUAAAUAGUACAACAAAAAAUAAAUCAAUUAAUUCUGAAUCUCACGAGGAAAAUGUUUUCAACUUUAAUAAAAGCGUAAUAAUUGACUAUGUAUCUACAUCAAAUAAUAAAUCAAUUAACCUUGAACCUUGUGAUCAAAGUUAUGUCCAUAUUAGUAAAAACAAAAUACCUGAUAGUGCCUCUAUGUCAAAUAAUUUAACAGAAAAUAAACCAAUCAAUCUUGAACCUUGUGAGGAAAAUUGUGUCAACUUCAAUAAAAAUGAAAUAUUUGACAAUGUUUCUACGUCAAAUAGUAUAUCGGUUAAUCUGGAACAUUUCGAUCAAAGUAUUAUCAACUUUAAUAAUCAACCUAAAAAUGAAAUAAAUUAUCCAACAAUUAAUUCUAUUGAAAAAAAUGAUUUUGAUGGUGACAUUGUUUGUAAUUCUCAUGUAGUAAAUGCCGAAAUUGAUACUAAAAGUAAAAUCAAAGUUGAAGAUGAUUUUAACUACGAUACUACUACUUUAAAGUAUAAUUUUAAAUCUGAAAAAAGCCCAGGACUUGAAAUAAAACCAUUUGAAAUUUGUCAUUUAAGUGAUAGCACUGUAAUAAUAAAUAAAAACGAUGAUUCUGAAGAAGAGUUGGAAAUAGUAGAAAAAUGGAAUGAUAAUGAAUCAGAAAAUAAUUUGUCAUCAUCCAAAAUAAAUACCAACCAUGAGUUUACUCAAACAAAAGAAACACACAUUUUAAAAGAUGAUCAUAAACCAGGUGGUGUACGGAUAUAAAAAGGUUGAGAACCGCUGCUCUACACUACUUAGUUGUAUUAUGCUAAGACAUAAAAUAUAUAGCAGUUGACUCUUGCUCUUGCAAUAAUUGAAAAUGAAAAAAAAAUAAAUAUAUCAACAUUAUUAAUUGAACCACCUCAAUACAAAAACCUUUUUGAUUCAAGUGAUACCAUUAGCUCAAAAGCAUAUCAAAUUU
Molecule: unclassified non-coding RNA, 4398 nt
Filed under: Acyrthosiphon pisum (pea aphid)
Lineage: Eukaryota; Metazoa; Arthropoda; Insecta; Hemiptera; Aphididae
Description: protein PFC0760c, transcript variant X4
Source: RNAcentral